UACGUAGGGUGCAAGCGUUAUCCGGAAUUAUUGGGCGUAAAGAGCUUGUAGGCGGUUUGUCGCGUCUGCUGUGAAAUUUCGGGGCUCAACCCCGAACUUGCAGUGGGUACGGGCAGACUAGAGUGUGGUAGGGGAGACUGGAAUUCCUGGUGUAGCGGUGAAAUGCGCAGAUAUCAGGAGGAACACCGAUGGCGAAGGCAGGUCUCUGGGCCAUAACUGACGCUGAGAAGCGAAAGCAUGGGGAGCGAACAGG
RNAcentral lists this ribosomal RNA (253 nucleotides) under uncultured bacterium. RNAcentral describes it as "partial 16S ribosomal RNA". It matches the Rfam family "Bacterial small subunit ribosomal RNA", at positions 524 to 776 of the family's 1533-position model. The record is from RNAcentral.